This 85-nucleotide transfer RNA is filed under the name Alphaproteobacteria bacterium. Its description in RNAcentral is "tRNA-Leu". It matches the Rfam family "tRNA". Rfam says of the family: Transfer RNA (tRNA) molecules are approximately 80 nucleotides in length. Their secondary structure includes four short double-helical elements and three loops (D, anti-codon, and T loops). Lineage: Bacteria; Pseudomonadati; Pseudomonadota; Alphaproteobacteria. The record is from RNAcentral.
GGGGGUAUGGCGAAACUGGUAGACGCACUGGAUUUAGGUUCCAGCGGGGCAACCCAUAAGAGUUCAAAUCUCUUUACCCCCACCA